CCUACGGGAGGCAGCAGUGGGGAAUAUUGGGCAAUGGGCGCAAGCCUGACCCAGCAACGCCGCGUGAAGGAAGAAGGCUUUCGGGUUGUAAACUUCUUUUAUCAGGGACGAAGCAAGUGACGGUACCUGAUGAAUAAGCCACGGCUAACUAGGGGCCAGCAGCCGCGGUAAUCCGGCGGCGGCAGUCGUUAUGCGGAUUUACUGGGUGUAAAGGUCGGGUAGGUGGGAGUGGAAGGCAGAUGUGAAAAUUAUGGGCUCAACCCAUAGCGUGCAUUUGAAACUGUACUUCUUGAGUGCUGGAGAGGCAAUCGGAAUGCGGUGUGUAGCGGUGAAAUGCGUAGAUAUAAGGAAGAACACCAGUGGCGAAGGCGGAUUGCUGGACAGUAACUGACGCUGAGGCGCGAAAGCGUGGGGAGCAAACAGGAUUAGAUACCCGAGUAGUC
RNAcentral lists this ribosomal RNA (443 nucleotides) under uncultured bacterium. RNAcentral's name for it is "partial 16S ribosomal RNA". It matches the Rfam family "Bacterial small subunit ribosomal RNA", at positions 338 to 795 of the family's 1533-position model. The record is from RNAcentral.